AGGGUUGUAACUCAGUAGUAGAGUACAUGUGUGAGGCCCUGGGUUCAAUUCCUGGCACCACUG
This 63-nucleotide transfer RNA is filed under the name Marmota marmota marmota (Alpine marmot). It matches the Rfam family "tRNA". Rfam says of the family: Transfer RNA (tRNA) molecules are approximately 80 nucleotides in length. Their secondary structure includes four short double-helical elements and three loops (D, anti-codon, and T loops). RNAcentral also lists the same sequence under 4 other names. Lineage: Eukaryota; Metazoa; Chordata; Mammalia; Rodentia; Sciuridae. The record is from Rfam by way of RNAcentral.